GAACUGGUGCAGGCAAUCUAGGAAGGCCAGCGUGGCGCGGUCGAAUUUGUUGUCCAGGAAGACGUUGUCCCUCCCGUCGGAGGCCAAGGGCAGCUCCUCGGCGUCGUCACCCUCCAGGGGUUUCAGAAAAAAAAAAUGCCAACAGAAAGGAGGAGGAGUUCACCAUUUCUUCUCCAAGACGAAGCCCUCGAAAACCAGAGCAUUCCCAGGUGAGUGCAAGGCACUCCUGGCGAGUGCUUGGAACUUCCUAUUAGAGGAGGAUGUUUUCAGAUCACACCGUCUUUUGUGUGGGGGUGACCAGCACCAAAUUUCUUUAGUAGUAGAAAAUAUGACUUCUGUUAUAAUCAAACAACCUUUAGAGCUGGUAUGUGUGCUUGGCUGCUUUAAAACUAACUAAAAAAUGAAUCUCGGGGUCAGGGUUCAGUGGCACAGUGCCUGCCUGGCAAACACGAGGCCCUACGUUUGAGCCCCAGACCCCCCCAAAGUGAAUCUUACAUCGUAUAUUACACACACAUGCAGGUUCCACAUUUGUCAGAAUUUGUAGAAACAGUCACACCAUUGACAUGUGAAUGUUUGGUUAUUCACAAUAGUUUCUUUUUUAAUAACAAUGUGAUGUACUUAUGUGGAUGAUGUGAGUUUUGUAACAAGUUUUGAUAUGAAGAAAGAUAUCUACAUUAAGGUCAUUUAAAAAAAUAAAAUAAAGGCUUAGGGAUGUAGCUGUGCAACAGAGCACUUGGCUAGCACAUAGGAGGCCUUGGGUUCAAUUCCCCAGCAGUGAAAAAAUAAAAAGUCAAAAUAAAAAUAAAGGCUUCUUUCAGGGAUUAUUGGCUAAUUAGUGAAAAGUGAAGAGAGAACACAGAAAUAUCUAAAAAAUGGCCAUUUCAUCUGCUGAGGCUAACUAGUGCUUUACUGGACAUUUUCAGAAAGCCUUUUUCUGAUGGUAGAAAUUGAAUGGAUAUGUGCUAACUAAACAAAAUAUCUUAGACAUGUGGUAGUUUCUCAGUGCCAAAAAAGAAAUUCCUUGUCUUAAUUCCAAAUAGUAAAACUGAUCCAAAUAUUUAGGUGCUUUCUUCCCAGUUCUCUGACUCAGUCCUCUUUCUUUUUUUUUUUUUUGUUUUUUGUUUUUUGAGACAGGGUCUCAAUAUAUAGUUGAGACUGACCUGGAACUCACUAUGUAGCCCAGGCUGGUCUCAAACUCAGCAAUCCUCCUGCCUCAGCCUCCCAAGUGCUCAGAUUACAGGAGUGCGCCACCAUGCCCAGCUCUCAGUCCUCUUUCUAACCUGUGUCCCAAAGACAUAUCUUUAGUCAUGGGUUUGAUCAGGAAAGUUGUUACUUUUAUUUUAUUUUUUUGGUACCAUGGACUGAACUCAGGUCCUUGCACUUGCAAGGCAGGAGGCAGAACCACUGAGCUAAAUCCCUGGCCCAAGUUACUUUUAAUAGAUGUGUAAUCAAAAUUUAACUAGGAAGGUAUUCUGUGAAAUAAAAAUGCAAUAAUACUUUUCAGUGUCAUACAUAAAUGAUUUGACUGUUUGCUUUUGUGUGUCUUUGCACUAGUGUAUAUAGAAGACAGUUUCUAUUCUCAUUUUGACCUUGAUUACCUAGAAAGUAGCAGAGGAAAGUAUUUCUUAGGGGAAAUGGAUGCAGAGAGGAG
This 1651-nucleotide long non-coding RNA is filed under the name Fukomys damarensis (Damara mole-rat). Its description in RNAcentral is "lncRNA (ENSFDAG00000022208.1)". Lineage: Eukaryota; Metazoa; Chordata; Mammalia; Rodentia; Bathyergidae. The record is from RNAcentral.